Molecule: ribosomal RNA, 511 nt
Filed under: uncultured soil bacterium
Lineage: Bacteria
Description: bacterial SSU rRNA
Rfam family: Bacterial small subunit ribosomal RNA
Source: RNAcentral
AGAACGAACGCUGGCGGCGUGGAUAAGACAUGCAAGUCGAACGGGACUUAUUUUGUAGCAAUACAAGGUAAGUUCAGUGGCGUAAGGGUGCGUAACACGUGGGGAAUCUGCCGAGAAGUGGGGGAUAGCUCGCCGAAAGGCGAAUUAAUACCGCAUGUGACCAGGAAGGACAUCCUUCCGACGUCAAAGCCGGGGCAACCUGGCGCUUCUUGAUGACCCCGCGGCCUAUCAGCUAGUUGGUAAGGUAACGGCUUACCAAGGCUAUGACGGGUAGCUGGUCUGAGAGGACGACCAGUCACACUGGAACUGAGACACGGUCCAGACACCUACGGGUGGCAGCAGUCGAGAAUUUUUCUCAAUGGGGAAACCCUGAAGGAGCGACGCCGCGUGGAGGAUGAAGGUCUUCGGAUUGUAAACUCCUGUCUAGUUGGAACAACUGUCAACUACCGUUAACUGCGUGGGCUUGAUAGUACCGAAGAGAAGAGACGCUAACUCUGUGCCAGCAGCCGUA